GGGCUUUGGAGCAUGCACAUAGUUGGUACUCAUAGAGUAUCACUAACAAUUUUUUACUAUUAAUUUUAAAGUUUGUUUAUUGUUUGAGAUUUUUUAUGAUACUGAUAUAAAUCUGUUUUCAAUGGUGAGAUCGGUGUUGGUAUCAUUAAAAAAAAAUUAGUUGCAAAAUCGAAAAUAAAUAUAGAAAAACAUAAGAUAAGCGCCUCCGGCAUAGAUCUAAAGGAGUAGGAGAGAAUUUGCGAUUAGGGUUCCAAGAAGUCUUAAUUUGGAGGAUGAUUCUCGCUUCCAUUGAAGAAGAAUCGGGUCAAGAGGCAGUGA
Molecule: long non-coding RNA, 318 nt
Organism: Arabidopsis thaliana (thale cress)
Lineage: Eukaryota; Viridiplantae; Streptophyta; Magnoliopsida; Brassicales; Brassicaceae
Product: other RNA
Exons: 1
Source: RefSeq